RNAcentral lists this long non-coding RNA (239 nucleotides) under Pongo abelii (Sumatran orangutan). RNAcentral describes it as "lincRNA". The record is from RNAcentral. Lineage: Eukaryota; Metazoa; Chordata; Mammalia; Primates; Hominidae.
CAAGAAGAGCUGAACUCCAAACUUCUCACACCUGCCAUGCAAGAAAUGUGAAAAGUUCUUCGGAGAGAAGGAAAAUUAUAUAGGUCAGAAACUGAGAUCUACAUAAGGAAAGAAGAGCAUUGGAUAAAGAAGAAAUAAAUAAAGGUAAUAUAAAUUCUUUGUUUUUCAUAUUUUUAUUAGUCUUUAUUUUCAUAUCAUUAAUAUUUUUCUUUUUAAUUAAACUAGUUAGUUUAAUUAAA